AGCCCACUUGUGGGUGGAUUAGUGGCGAACGGGUGAGUAACACGUGAGUAACCUGCCCUUGACUCUGGGAUAAGCCUGGGAAACUGGGUCUAAUACCGGAUAUGACCUUCCAUCGCAUGGUGGUUGGUGGAAAGCUUUUGUGGUUUUGGAUGGACUCGCGGCCUAUCAGCUUGUUGGUGAGGUAAUGGCUUACCAAGGCGACGACGGGUAGCCGGCCUGAGAGGGUGACCGGCCACACUGGGACUGAGACACGGCCCAGACUCCUACGGGAGGCAGCAGUGGGGAAUAUUGCACAAUGGGCGCAAGCCUGAUGCAGCGACGCCGCGUGAGGGAUGACGGCCUUCGGGUUGUAAACCUCUUUCAGUAGGGAAGAAGCGAAAGUGAC
This 385-nucleotide ribosomal RNA is filed under the name Arthrobacter sp. Its description in RNAcentral is "bacterial SSU rRNA". It matches the Rfam family "Bacterial small subunit ribosomal RNA", at positions 73 to 473 of the family's 1533-position model. Lineage: Bacteria; Bacillati; Actinomycetota; Actinomycetes; Micrococcales; Micrococcaceae. The record is from RNAcentral.